RNAcentral lists this long non-coding RNA (729 nucleotides) under Calidris pugnax (ruff). RNAcentral's name for it is "lncRNA (ENSCPUG00000017302.1)". Lineage: Eukaryota; Metazoa; Chordata; Aves; Charadriiformes; Scolopacidae. The record is from RNAcentral.
GAAGCACAGGCGGAAGAGCUCCCGGUUGGCAGCGGCGAGAGCGGAGGAAGCGGAGGCGACCGAGGCGGAGGCCGCGGCCGAGCCCGGUCCCGAAGGGGCGCUGGAGGGGGACGAGCGUCCCUUUGGGAAUCCCGACUCCUUGACCCGACCCCCGAUAAGAGCCUGUAGAGCGGCAGGCAAUUCUUCAUAUAACUUUCUUCAAGAGAAUCCAGUAAAAGAAAAAGCAAAGGCUUAUGACAGUAACGAACCUGAGAAACCAGCAGGGCAUCGACCAAACUUUUAUACACCGUUAAAAGAAAGAAAGACUGACUUCCUUGAGAAAAAUCAAGAGCACUAUUCAACGACAUCACAGAGUAAGUAAAAAAGUGGAUACCUAGGUUUUCCCUGUAAUUAAGUGAAAAGUACAGAAUUCUUUUCCUUUCCUCUGCUUGUGGGUUUUCUUGUGCCCUGGGACAGUCUGUCUGUCUGGGAAGGUGGAAAGAGGCCCAGGAGGCAGAUCCAAAUGGAAGCUGGAGCACAUUCCAGAGCCCUUCUAUGAGGUUAUUCAACUCGCUGACCACAGAAAAUGACCCACUUUUUUUUUUUUCUUUUUUUGGCUCAAUUAGGCAAUGGAGUUGACUCAUGGGACAAUUUGUAAGUGCAGAGCAUGUACUGGUGGCAUUGUGGGGGUGAGCUGAGGAAGGGAACAAAAGGUAGCAGUGAAUGUUAGUUUGUACACAUCGCCUUCCC